UAAGGAGGGGGCAAGCGUUGUCCGGCAUUAUUGGGCGUAAAGCGCGCGUAGGCGGUGUCUUAAGUCUGAUGUGAAAUCUUGCGGCUCAACCGCAAGCGGUCAUUGGAAACUGGGGAACUUGAGUACAGAAGAGGAGAGCGGAAUUCCACGUGUAGCGGUGAAAUGCGUAGAUAUGUGGAGGAACACCAGUGGCGAAGGCGGCUCUCUGGUCUGUAACUGACGCUGAGGUGCGAAAGCGUGGGGAGCGAUCAGG
This 253-nucleotide unclassified non-coding RNA is filed under the name uncultured Bacillaceae bacterium. Its description in RNAcentral is "contains 16S-23S intergenic spacer region". It matches the Rfam family "Bacterial small subunit ribosomal RNA", at positions 524 to 776 of the family's 1533-position model. Lineage: Bacteria; Bacillati; Bacillota; Bacilli; Caryophanales; Bacillaceae. The record is from RNAcentral.